RNAcentral lists this ribosomal RNA (255 nucleotides) under uncultured bacterium. RNAcentral describes it as "partial 16S ribosomal RNA". It matches the Rfam family "Bacterial small subunit ribosomal RNA", at positions 524 to 776 of the family's 1533-position model. The record is from RNAcentral.
GACAGAGGGUGCAAACGUUUGUUCGGAAUUACUGGGCGUAAAGCGCGUGUAGGCUGCUCAGAAAGUCGGAUGUGAAAGCCCUGGGCUUAACCUAGGAAGUGCAUUCGAAACUUCUGAGCUGGGAGUUCUGGAGAGGAAGGCGGAAUUCUCGGUGUAGAGGUGAAAUUCGUAGAUAUCGAGAGGAACACCGGUGGCGAAGGCGGCCUUCUGGACAGUGACUGACGCUGAGACGCGAAAGCGUGGGGAGCAAACAGG